Molecule: long non-coding RNA, 533 nt
Filed under: Carica papaya (papaya)
Lineage: Eukaryota; Viridiplantae; Streptophyta; Magnoliopsida; Brassicales; Caricaceae
Description: long non-coding RNA (CPAP_LNC009742)
Source: RNAcentral
CUCGCAGUCACUGGUUUGGCGCCUUCCCAUUGAUUAUGGCUAACUUUUAAUCCAAUCUUACCCGAUGUGACCUUUUUCCCCUCAAAGAAUCCAUCGGCGCUAGAGCUCAAUUUAGUAGUCGUUCGAGAUGCGAGCAGCAGCAGAACAAGCUCAAGAAGAAGAAAAAAAAAAACAAAAUAAGGCUUAGCAGUUUCUGAAUUUCAGGAAUUCGGAUUAUAGCUUUGUUCUGAAAUGGCAAAAUUCAGUUGCUGCGGCUUCGUGAGAAGGGGGAAGAAGCAAGUCAAGGUACGCAUAUAUUCUCAGAUUUAGGGCAUCUUUGAGGCAAAUGAACUUUUUUCAUAUGAUUAAAUUGAAAAUCUUUAGUCUUAUUACUUGCUUCAAUCAUGAAAAUAUUGAAAUCUCAUUCCAAGUUAGUAGAACUGAAGCAAUAUAUGCUAAAUCCCAUUGUUUGCAAUGUGUUCGUACCUCAUGAAUUCGCUUACUUCAUUGACUUUCAUUCUUUUGCUUUCAGGGAGACCAUAAACGUGUUCACG